GGGGCUGUGGCUCAGUGGUAGAGCACUUGCCUAGCAUGCGUGAGGCACUGGGCUCAAUUCCUGGCACCA
RNAcentral lists this transfer RNA (69 nucleotides) under Ictidomys tridecemlineatus (thirteen-lined ground squirrel). RNAcentral describes it as "Spermophilus tridecemlineatus (thirteen-lined ground squirrel) tRNA". It matches the Rfam family "tRNA". Rfam says of the family: Transfer RNA (tRNA) molecules are approximately 80 nucleotides in length. Their secondary structure includes four short double-helical elements and three loops (D, anti-codon, and T loops). The record is from Rfam by way of RNAcentral. Lineage: Eukaryota; Metazoa; Chordata; Mammalia; Rodentia; Sciuridae.